CCUACGGGGGGCAGCAGUGGGGAAUAUUGCACAAUGGGGGAAACCCUGAUGCAGCGACGCCGCGUGAGUGAAGAAGUAUUUCGGUACGUAAAGCUCUAUCAGCAGGGAAGAAAAUGACGGUACCUGACUAAGAAGCCCCGGCUAACUACGUGCCAGCAGCCGCGGUAAUACGUAGGGGGCAAGCGUUAUCCGGAUUUACUGGGUGUAAAGGGAGCGUAGACGGCAGCGCAAGUCUGGAGUGAAAUCCCAUGGCUUAACCAUGGAACUGCUUUGGAAACUGUGCAGCUAGAGUGCAGGAGAGGUAAGCGGAAUUCGUAGUGUAGCGGUGAAAUGCGUAGAUAUUAGGAGGAACACCAGUGGCGAAGGCAGCUUACUGGACUGUAACUGACGUUGAGGCUCGAAAGCGUGGGGAGCAAACAGGAUUAGAUACCCGAGUAGUC
Molecule: ribosomal RNA, 440 nt
Filed under: uncultured bacterium
Lineage: Bacteria
Description: partial 16S ribosomal RNA
Rfam family: Bacterial small subunit ribosomal RNA
Source: RNAcentral